This 406-nucleotide ribosomal RNA is filed under the name uncultured bacterium. RNAcentral describes it as "partial 16S ribosomal RNA". It matches the Rfam family "Bacterial small subunit ribosomal RNA", at positions 360 to 773 of the family's 1533-position model. The record is from RNAcentral.
AAUAUGGCGCAAUGGAGGGAACUCUGACGCAGCGACGCCGCGUGAUCGAUGAUUGUCNNNGUAUCNUCAAGCCCUGUCCUUUGNGAANAAGGUCUUCGUACGUGACGGUACCUAAGGAGGAAGCCCGGGCUAACUACGUGCCAGCAGCCGCGGUAAUACGUGGGGGGCGAGCGUUGUCCGGAAUUAUUGGGCGUAAAGGGCGCGUAGGCGGUCUCUUAAGUCUGAUGUAAAAGCCCCCGGCUUAACCGGGGAGGGUAAUUGGAAACUGGGAGACUUGAGUGCAGAAGAGGAGAGUGGAAUUCCACGUGUAGCGGUGAAAUGCGUAGAGAUGUGGAGGAACACCAGUGGCGAAGGCGGCUCUCUGGUCUGUAACUGACGCUGAGGCGCGAAAGCGUGGGGAGCAAAC